RNAcentral lists this ribosomal RNA (792 nucleotides) under uncultured marine bacterium. Its description in RNAcentral is "bacterial SSU rRNA". It matches the Rfam family "Bacterial small subunit ribosomal RNA", at positions 57 to 845 of the family's 1533-position model. The record is from RNAcentral.
GCAAGUCGAACGGUAACAUAGAUUGCUUGCAAUCUGAUGACGAGUGGCGCACGGGUGCGUAACGCGUAUGCAAUCUACCUUUUACAGAAGAAUAGCCCAGAGAAAUUUGGAAUAAUGCUCCAUAAUAUCAUGUAUCAGCAUUGAUUUAUGAUUAAAGCUCCGGCGGUAAAAGAUGAGCAUGCGUUCUAUUAGCUAGUAGGUGAGGUAACGGCUCACCUAAGCUACGAUAGAUAGGGGCCCUGAGAGGGGGAUCCCCCACACUGGUACUGAGACACGGACCAGACUCCUACGGGAGGCAGCAGUGAGGAAUAUUGGACAAUGGAGGAAACUCUGAUCCAGCCAUGCCGCGUGCGGGAUGACUGCCCUAUGGGUUGUAAACUGCUUUUAUAUAGGAAGAAACACUCCCACGUGUGGGGGCUUGACGGUACUAUAUGAAUAAGGAUCGGCUAACUCCGUGCCAGCAGCCGCGGUAAUACGGAGGAUCCAAGCGUUAUCCGGAAUCAUUGGGUUUAAAGGGUCCGCAGGCGGCCUGUUAAGUCAGAGGUGAAAUCCUACAGCUCAACUGUAGAACUGCCUUUGAUACUGAUAGGCUUGAGUUAUUGUGAAGUGGUUAGAAUGUGUGGUGUAGCGGUGAAAUGCUUAGAUAUCACACAGAAUACCCAUUGCGAAGGCAGAUCACUAACAAUAUACUGACGCUCAUGGACGAAAGCGUGGGGAGCGAACAGGAUUAGAUACCCUGGUAGUCCACGCCGUAAACGAUGGAUACUAACUGUUCGACCUUCGGGUUGAGUG